This 460-nucleotide ribosomal RNA is filed under the name uncultured ammonia-oxidizing beta proteobacterium. Its description in RNAcentral is "bacterial SSU rRNA". It matches the Rfam family "Bacterial small subunit ribosomal RNA", at positions 202 to 645 of the family's 1533-position model. The record is from RNAcentral. Lineage: Bacteria; Pseudomonadati; Pseudomonadota; Betaproteobacteria.
AAGCAGGGGAUCGUAAGACCUUGCGCUUUUGGAGCGGCCGAUGUCUGAUUAGCUAGUUGGUGGGGUAAUGGCCUACCAAGGCUACGAUCAGUAGCUGGUCUGAGAGGACGGCCAGCCACACUGGGACUGAGACACGGCCCAGACUCCUACGGGAGGCAGCAGUGGGGAAUUUUGGACAAUGGGCGCAAGCCUGAUCCAGCCAUGCCGCGUGAGUGAAGAAGGCCUUCGGGUUGUAAAGCUCUUUCAGCCGGGAAGAAAAGGUUGCGACAAAUAAUCGCAAUUCAUGACGGUACCGAGAGAAGAAGCACCGGCUAACUACGUGCCAGCAGCCGCGGUAAUACGUAGGGUGCGAGCGUUAAUCGGAAUUACUGGGCGUAAAGGGUGCGCAGGCGGUUUUGUAAGUCAGAUGUGAAAUCCCCGGGCUUAACCUGGGAACUGCGUUUGAAACUACAAGGCUUAG